UGAGCAAUCUGCCCUUCUCAUCGGAAUAAGCGUUGGAAACGACGUCUAAUGCCGAAUACGACCUCCUUUCGCAUGAUCGGAGGUGGAAAGCUCCGGCGGAGAAGGAUGAGCUCGCGGCCUAUCAGCUAGUUGGUGAGGUAAUAGCUCACCAAGGCGAUGACGGGUAGCCGGCCUGAGGAGGGUGACCCGGCCACACGUGGGACUGAGACACCGGCCCAGACCUGUACGGGAG
RNAcentral lists this ribosomal RNA (232 nucleotides) under uncultured bacterium. Its description in RNAcentral is "partial 16S ribosomal RNA". It matches the Rfam family "Bacterial small subunit ribosomal RNA", at positions 118 to 347 of the family's 1533-position model. The record is from RNAcentral.